CAGGAGCACUGCGGCUGCGGGGGAGGGCCGUCACGUGCGUUUGGAGAACCGGGCGUUCAGUUUGUUUGGUGGCUCUUGAAAGCCUGGUGGAAACCUGGGCGUAACGACCCCACAGUGUGUCCGACCGCUGUGCGGUGCCCAGGACGAACUCAUGUGGAACCAGGCACUUGGCGUGAGACCGGAGGACUCAGCAUACACCAAGCAAUGGACCCCUGAGACAGGCCUCUGGGAAUCCGUGGCCCUCACACUAAUGAACUUAGACUGCCAAACUGGGACAGAAACCAAAAAGCAUGACCCAGACUCAGAAAGAUAUUUUCACACCUAAAAAGUGUGAGACAUAAGUGGAAACCAAAACACAAGGCAUUGAAUCCCCUAAUUAGAGGUUUGUUCAAGAAGAUUUGCUGAAUACUUCUCCCUUCUAGGGUGAAGAGACAGACAAAUACGAUGCUCACUUAACUAAGUGCUGUGAACAAUUAAAAACUGGAGGGAAGGUUUACAGAGUUGUGGGUGAGGACGCUGGAGAAAGACUGAAAUCCAGGGACUGGACCCAGGUGUUGUGUAACCGUUUCCUGCGAGAUUGAAACAUUCUAUCCUGCAGAGAAACUCCUUAAACAGGAAAGUAAACGGCACAAAGGAACUUUGGGAGUCCUUGAAACUGACCAGAUUCACCGGGUUACUCCUUGCUGGAGUAAGCAAUAAAAGUUGAGAAUCCCUGUUCGAUGAACUCCACGGAGCUGCAAAGAAGACUCAGCCAAACUGCUUAGAAGAAGCAGAAAUCAGCCUCCUGCCUCCUGCCUGGAAGAGGUCUAGACCAACUUAAAUAGCUGGAGGACACUCUUCAACUUUGCUGGUAUCCAUACUCAUCUGUAGUGACUAGUGUAUAAAUGUUUUGCCUGGUAUGGGUAGAAGUCAGAAGUUGGUGUUGGAUCCUGGGGUUAUAAAAAGCCAUGUGGGUACCAGAACUGAACCUGGGUCCUCUGCAGGAGCAGCCAGUGCUCUUAAUUGUUGAGCCAUCUCUCCAGCAGCCAAAAGUUGAUGAAUUUUAAGGAUAAAGAACAAACUAAUAAUAUCCUAUCAGAGGAUGAAGCUACUUAUUUGAAAAGCUAAAAACUAGCCCCAGAAUGGUGGUAGAUAUUCAUAAUCCUGCAUGUGUGGAGUCAAAGGACCACAAGUUUAAGUCAUUCUUGACUGCAAAACAAGUUGGAAGACAGUCUGAGCUACAGGAGACCCUGUUUCGAAAACAAAACAAGUACCUAAAUGCCGACCUUCAGAUUUCUUCUCUGUAAUAAUUUUUGUAUGAAUUAAAUGUUAAAGGAAAAUGAAACAAGACUGGC
This 1334-nucleotide long non-coding RNA is filed under the name Cricetulus griseus (Chinese hamster). RNAcentral describes it as "lncRNA (ENSCGRG00015034947.1)". The record is from RNAcentral. Lineage: Eukaryota; Metazoa; Chordata; Mammalia; Rodentia; Cricetidae.